GCUCCCAUUUCUCAGCGGCGGACGGGUGAGUAACACGUGGGCAACCUGCCCUACAGACUGGGAUAACUCCGGGAAACCGGAGCUAAUACCGGGUAAUACGUAGCAUCGCAUGAUGCAACGUUGAAAGUUGGCCUUUGGCUAACACUGUAGGAUGGGCCCGCGGCGCAAUAGCUAGUUGGUAAGGUAACGGCUUACCAAGGCCACGAUGCGUAGCCCACCUGAGAGGGUGAUCGGCCACACUGGGACUGAGACACGGCCCAGACUCCUACGGGAGGCAGCAGUAGGGAAUCUUCCGCAAUGGACGAAAGUCUGACGGAGCAACGCCCCGUGAGUGACGAAAGCCUUCGGGUCGUAAAGCUCUGUUGUUAGGGAAGAACAAGUACCGUUCGAAUAGGGCGGUACCUUGACGGUACCUAACCAGAAAGCCACGGCUAACUACGUGCCAGCAGCCGCGGUAAUACGUAGGUGGCAAGCGUUGUCCGGAAUUAUUGGGCGUAAAGCGCGCGCAGGCGGUCUCUUAAGUCUGAUGUGAAAGCCCACGGCUCAACCGUGGAGGGCCAUUGGAAACUGGGGGACUUGAGUGCAGAAGAGGAGAGUGGAAUUCCACGUGUAGCGGUGAAAUGCGUAGAUAUGUGGAGGAACACCAGUGGCGAAGGCGGCUCUCUGGUCUGUAACUGACGCUGAGGCGCGAAAGCGUGGGGAGCGAACAGGAUUAGAUACCCUGGUAGUCCACGCCGUAAACGAUGAGUGCUAGGUGUUGGGGGCUUCCACCCUCAGUGCUGAAGUUAACACAUUAAGCACUCCGCCCGGGGGAGUACGACCGCAAGGUUGAAACUCAAAGGAAUUGACGGGGGCCC
Molecule: ribosomal RNA, 857 nt
Filed under: Bacillus sp. (in: firmicutes)
Lineage: Bacteria; Bacillati; Bacillota; Bacilli; Caryophanales; Bacillaceae
Description: bacterial SSU rRNA
Rfam family: Bacterial small subunit ribosomal RNA
Source: RNAcentral